This 77-nucleotide transfer RNA is filed under the name Pseudomonas aeruginosa. RNAcentral's name for it is "tRNA-Met (CAT) (tRNA-Met-CAT-1-1)". It matches the Rfam family "tRNA". From Rfam's summary of the family: Transfer RNA (tRNA) molecules are approximately 80 nucleotides in length. Their secondary structure includes four short double-helical elements and three loops (D, anti-codon, and T loops). Lineage: Bacteria; Pseudomonadati; Pseudomonadota; Gammaproteobacteria; Pseudomonadales; Pseudomonadaceae. RNAcentral also lists the same sequence under 482 other names. The record is from RNAcentral.
GGCUACAUAGCUCAGUCGGUUAGAGCGCAGCAUUCAUAAUGCUGAUGUCCCAGGUUCAAGUCCCGGUGUAGCCACCA